GAUGAAGAACGUAGCGAAAUGCGAUAAGUAAUGUGAAUUGCAGAAUUCAGUGAAUCAUCGAAUCUUUGAACGCACAUUGCGCCCCCUGGUAUUCCGGGGGGCAUGCCUGUCCGAGCGUCAUUACAACCCUCAAGCUCAGCUUGGUGUUGGGCCCCGCCGCCCCGGCGGGCCCUAAAGUCAGUGGCGGUGCCGUCCGGCUCCGAGCGUAGUAAUUCUUCUCGCUCAGGAGGCCCGGUCGUGUGCUCGCCAGCAACCCCCAAUUUUUUUCAGGUUGACCUCGGAUCAGGUAGGGAUACCCGCUGAACUUAAGCAUAUCAAUAAGCGGAGGA
This 329-nucleotide unclassified non-coding RNA is filed under the name soil metagenome. Its description in RNAcentral is "partial contains 5.8S ribosomal RNA, internal transcribed spacer 2, and large subunit ribosomal RNA". The stretch from base 1 to 120 matches the Rfam family "5.8S ribosomal RNA", at positions 35 to 154 of the family's 154-position model. The record is from RNAcentral.